RNAcentral lists this ribosomal RNA (500 nucleotides) under uncultured bacterium. RNAcentral's name for it is "partial 16S ribosomal RNA". It matches the Rfam family "Bacterial small subunit ribosomal RNA", at positions 30 to 523 of the family's 1533-position model. The record is from RNAcentral.
AUUGAACGCUGGCGGCAGGCCUAACACAUGCAAGUCGAGCGGCAGCGGGUCCUUCGGGAUGCCGGCGAGCGGCGGACGGGUGAGUAAUGCCUAGGAAUCUGCCUGGUAGUGGGGGAUAACGUUCGGAAACGGACGCUAAUACCGCAUACGUCCUACGGGAGAAAGUGGGGGAUCUUCGGACCUCACGCUAUCAGAUGAGCCUAGGUCGGAUUAGCUAGCUGGUGGGGUAAUGGCUCACCAAGGCGACGAUCCGUAACUGGUCUGAGAGGAUGAUCGGUAACACUGGAACUGAGACACGGUCCAGACUCCUACGGGAGGCAGCAGUGGGGAAUAUUGGACAAUGGGCGAAAGCCUGAUCCAGCCAUGCCGCGUGUGUGAAGAAGGUCUUCGGAUUGUAAAGCACUUUAAGUUGGGAGGAAGGGCAGUCAGUUAAUACCUGGUUGUUUUGACGUUACCAACAGAAUAAGCACCGGCUAACUUCGUGCCAGCCGCCGCAGUAA